GGGGGAAAAUUAAUUAAUUUAAUAAUAAUAAAAGAAAUUUUUAUUUAUAUAUUUUAAUGGGGGUUAAAGUAUAUUAAAAGAAAAAAUUUGAAAAUUUAUAGUGAAAUAGUAUUGUAAAAGAAUAAUGAAAUAAAAAUGAAAAUUUAAUUAUUAUAAAAGUAAAUUUAAUUUAUUGUAUCUUGUGUAUCAGAGUUUAUUAAAAAUAAUUUUUAAUUAAAAGUUUUUCGAAUUUAAAAGAGUUAAUUAAUUAAAAUUUUUAUUGUAGCAUAAAUAUAUUAAAUAAUUAAUUUGAAAUGAAAUGUUAUUCGUUUUUAAAUAUAUCUAAUUUUUUUAGAAAUAAAUUAAAUUUAGAAUUUUUUUUUUAUUUUAUAAUUUAUUAUUUAUAAAAUAAAAAUUAAAUUUAAUAUUUUAAGGGAUAAGCUUUAAAUUAAAUUUUUAUAAUAUUAAUUUAGUUAUUUAAAAUUAAAAUUUUUAAAAUUUAUAUUGUUUAUAAAUUAUAUUUUUUUAUAAAAAUUUUUAGUUUAAAUAAGAUUUUUAUUUAUAUUUAAUUUUUUAUAAAAAAAUGAUUUUUAAUAAAAUAAUAUUAGUUAUAAUGAUAAAAUUAGUAUAAUUUAAAUAGUUAAUAAAAUAAUUUUAUAAAAUAAUUUAAAAAUUAAAAAAAAGGAAUUCGGCAAAUAUUAAUAUUCACCUGUUUAACAAAAACAUGUCUUUUUGAUUAUAAUUUAAAGUCUAAUCUGCCCACUGAUUUUUUAUUAAAGGGCUGCAGUAUAUUGACUGUACAAAGGUAGCAUAAUAAAUAGUCUUUUAAUUGAAGACUUGUAUGAAAGAUUUGAUGAAAUAUUAACUGUCUCUUUUUUAUAUUUAGAAUUUAAUUUUUUAGUAAAAAAGCUAAAAUUUAUUUAAAAGACGAGAAGACCCUAUAGAGUUUUAUAUUUAUUUUAUUUAAAAAUUAUAUAUUUAUGUAUAAUUUUUAAAUAAAAUAAAUAUUUUAUUGGGGUGAUGGAAAAAUUAAUAAAACUUUUUUUUUUUACUUACAUAAAUUAAUGAAUAUUUGAUCCAUAAUUUAUGAUUAUAAGAAAAAAUUACCUUAGGGAUAACAGCGUAAUUUUUUUUUUUAGUUCAUAUAAGAAAAAAAGUUUGCGACCUCGAUGUUGGAUUAAGAUAAAAUUUAAAUGUAGAAGUUUAAAAUUUUUGAUCUGUUCGAUCAUUAAAAUCUUACAUGAUCUGAGUUCAAACCGGUGUAAGCCAGGUUGGUUUCUAUCUUUAGAAAAUUAAAAUAUUUUAGUACGAAAGGAUCAAAUAUUUAAAAUAAUUUUAAUUAAUAGUGAAUUUUAUUAAUAAAUAAAGAAAAUAUAUAUAUAAAUAUUACUAUUUUGACAGAAAAAAUG
RNAcentral lists this ribosomal RNA (1388 nucleotides) under Megathymus cofaqui cofaqui. Its description in RNAcentral is "16S ribosomal RNA". The stretch from base 1093 to 1252 matches the Rfam family "Eukaryotic large subunit ribosomal RNA", at positions 2825 to 2984 of the family's 3401-position model. The record is from RNAcentral. Lineage: Eukaryota; Metazoa; Arthropoda; Insecta; Lepidoptera; Hesperiidae.